This is an RNA transcript of Arachis ipaensis, 1236 nucleotides long. RefSeq lists it as uncharacterized. The record is from RefSeq and is a predicted model, not a curated record. Lineage: Eukaryota; Viridiplantae; Streptophyta; Magnoliopsida; Fabales; Fabaceae.
UUUUUUAAACGCCCAUUCCAAACGACGUCGUUUUGAUUUUUUAAUUAACAAAAAAAAACCCUGGCUGAAUCUGAAGCACCACCAGAGACACUGUCACAUAGAGGCAGAGCUGGGAGCUCACCUCGGUACCGCCACUGCAUGCUCGCCGCGCCUCCCUCCGCCUUUCCUCCGUCUCAGUGAGUGGUUGUUACUGCUCGUUCCUCGUGGUCCGUGCCUCCGUGGUUAUUGCUGCCUGCACGCUGCCGUUCGUCGUCCACCUUCCGGAAUCGAUUCUGCCUCUGCAACAACAGGUAUCGGAUGAAGAUUUGGAUGUCAUCUUCAUCAUCUACCCAUCACAUUUAUAUGUGUAAUAUGUUUAUUCUACUUUGCAUUCUCCAGAUCAUCAUAAAGGGCCCAGCCCUCUGCUUUGGGAAUAUGGAUGAGGAUAAAAUUCUGAGAGUUGGAGAAGAGCUUGAGAGAGAAACGUUGCUAUUACAAGGUGGCUCUCGCUUUUAUCAAUUAGAGAAUCUGAGACCACACACUUGGUAUGAAGUGAAGAUAUCAUAUCCAGCUUCUGUACCAGCUAUUUUCUCCAUACAACUACUUAAAUCGAAAUUGUUGGUGAACAGUAACAGGAGAUUACUCAACACUGAGAAGCUCAUUUUCAAAUCCUAUGGUGAUGAGGAUAAACACAACAUAUUAUUGGUAACUGUGGAGCCAGAGGGGUUUCCAGCAAUACCACAUGUACAAGAGAGGGAGUUUAUUAUCUUCAACAUUGUCUGUGACGAACUGUUAUUAGGCAUACCCCACAAAGCUUGGUGGGUAGUGGCGCUGGCAUUACUCUGUCUAUGCAUUGCAUUCGUCAUCCCUUCUUUUCUUCCACCGUAUUUGUUACCAAAAAACCAAGUGUCAAGGUCUACUCAACAUGUCUCAAAAACUUUUUGACAAGUGAUUGUGAUUAUAACAUUAUUUGAGGCACACCUACAUAUUCAUGUUACACUGAAGACAAAUUUGGAAUCCACCAGCUAGUUAAUAGAGCAACAAAAAUGGUGAAAAAGGAACAGUUCUAAGAAAUAAUCAAACACAUAUCUUAAGACGAGGAAAUAUUCUUACAAGAGUUCUGAUUUAUUAACAUGAUGACUACACAAAUAAAGUGAGAGAUUCAUCCUCAGAAACCAACAAAGAUACAAUAAAAAGUGAAAAGACAAAUACAGAAUAUAACACUGGACAGUGGACACAAGAUACAAACAUGAUAAC